RNAcentral lists this non-coding RNA (30 nucleotides) under Mus musculus (house mouse). Lineage: Eukaryota; Metazoa; Chordata; Mammalia; Rodentia; Muridae. The record is from RNAcentral.
UGGAUAUAUCUGUCCAUUGCCUGAUACUGU